CCCUUAGAUGUUCUGGGCCGCACGCGCGCUACACUGAUGCAUUCAACGAGUUCCUACCUUGGCCGAGAGGCCUGGGCAAUCUUUUGAACUUGCAUCGUGAUAGGGAUAGAUUAUUGCAAUUAUUAAUCUUGAACGAGGAAUUCCUAGUAAACGCAGGUCAUCAAUCUGCAUUGAUUACGUCCCUGCCCUUUGUACACACCGCCCGUCGCACCUACCGAUUGAAUGGUCCGGUGAAGCCUCGGGAUUGUGGUUAGUUUCCUUCAUUGGAAGUUAGCCGCGAGAACUUGUCUAAACCUUAUCAUUUAGAGGAAGGUGAAGUCGUAACA
Molecule: ribosomal RNA, 326 nt
Filed under: uncultured eukaryote
Lineage: Eukaryota
Description: partial 18S ribosomal RNA
Rfam family: Eukaryotic small subunit ribosomal RNA
Source: RNAcentral